UGAAGAGCUAUUCAUGAGGU
RNAcentral lists this microRNA (20 nucleotides) under Schmidtea mediterranea. RNAcentral describes it as "sme-miR-281-5p". Its record names the gene sme-miR-281-5p. The record is from miRBase by way of RNAcentral. Lineage: Eukaryota; Metazoa; Platyhelminthes; Tricladida; Dugesiidae.